Molecule: long non-coding RNA, 797 nt
Filed under: Mus spretus (western wild mouse)
Lineage: Eukaryota; Metazoa; Chordata; Mammalia; Rodentia; Muridae
Description: lncRNA (ENSMSPG00010046895.1)
Source: RNAcentral
AGGCCACUGGCGCCGGUCUCCCACACGCUGCCGCACCUUUGGGUUCCAGCCUCACUGCCUGCGACAACCCGGCUCCGCACGACCUUUUAAAGGUAGCUUUUCUGAGCUCAAGGGAAAGGCCCAAAUAUGGGAACCUGGGAAGAAGUAUUGAGAGAGUGGUCCUUUGGGAUAGGAGGUUGAAGAAACAGCAUUUGUUCAGAGUGUGCUAGGCGAGAUCAUGCAUUCGUGUAUGAUUAUUCUAGUAUGAAUCCUUUCACAGGUGAGACACGUGUCCUCUUAAAACUCAAGGCGGGGAAAAACACAGAAGGCCAGCCAGUUCCUGCUGGUGGACAUGCUGAAGGAGGACCUGGGAUGCUAAAGAAACAGCUCACACACAAGGGGAAGGAAGCCCAGGUAGAGGGUAGGGAUCCCUCGAACCUGUCAGCAGACGGAACAUGCGGCUCCUCGUGUGCAGAGAAACAGCUCCAUCAGAGAACACAGCCUGGACCUCCGCCUACUCAUGUGAUGAAGGAACAACAGUAGCCUUGGCAACCCUCCCUUGUGCCACCUACCUGCAGCCAGCUUCUCCCCCACCACCAUCACCAGCAGGUCACUCUGGCCAUCUUUGAUGGCCCUCUAUGGGAGAUAUCACUAUGACCUCAGCUUCCCCCUGGUUGGUUGGCAAGAGUAUCUUGCUACAACCAACCUUUUCAUGGAUACAUGUUCAUAUCAUCUGCGGGCUGGUGAGGUGGACACCUGCCAUCAAGUCUGUCAAGCUGAGUUCUAUCCCUCAGACCAAGGUAAAAGAAGAGAACCAA